UACGAAGGGGGCUAGCGUUGUUCGGAAUUACUGGGCGUAAAGCGCACGUAGGCGGGUCAUUAAGUCAGGGGUGAAAUCCCAAGGCUCAACCUUGGAACUGCCUCUGAUACUGAUGAUCUUGAGUCCGAGAGAGGUGAGUGGAACUCCGAGUGUAGAGGUGAAAUUCGUAGAUAUUCGGAAGAACACCAGUGGCGAAGGCGGCUCACUGGCUCGGUACUGACGCUGAGGUGCGAAAGCGUGGGGAGCAAACAGG
This 253-nucleotide unclassified non-coding RNA is filed under the name Hyphomicrobiales bacterium. RNAcentral describes it as "partial 16S ribosomal RNA". It matches the Rfam family "Bacterial small subunit ribosomal RNA", at positions 524 to 776 of the family's 1533-position model. RNAcentral also lists the same sequence under 1 other name. The record is from RNAcentral. Lineage: Bacteria; Pseudomonadati; Pseudomonadota; Alphaproteobacteria; Hyphomicrobiales.